Molecule: non-coding RNA, 28 nt
Filed under: Rattus norvegicus (Norway rat)
Lineage: Eukaryota; Metazoa; Chordata; Mammalia; Rodentia; Muridae
Source: RNAcentral
UAGGAUAUGGUGUUGGAGGCUGUUUGUG